UUUGAUUCAGGUUGACCUAUGCUGGGGGGGAAAUAAGAUUUACAUACUCCAGGCAGGUGUCAGGAGCUAUAAUAACUAGUGAGAUCUGGAUGCCCAUGAACGGAUAGUGUGGAUAUGAUAAAAUACAGUAGAAAAGACCAACAAUUAGGGCAACAUUGUCCAGCAUUGGUGCUGAUGCUUAGUACUUCAAGAUCUUCGUUAAUAAGAAAAUUAUUUAGAGACACUGCAGUCAAUAGGCAAUGAAAGUGCUCAUCACCUCAGUAUAAGCGACCUUUUACUUAUAUGCCUCAUCACAGAUUAAGGACUUUGGCCUCUGUGUUAGAAAAUGUUGGCCUUGGAUUAUGAGCUGAAGUGUGUUGCAAUUCCUUUUCUAGCAUAGGAAGAUUCUGUGGUAGCUGCUGACUGCAAGUGAAGGCACUUAUCUAUGCCUGUUAUUCUGUAACUUGCUGUCCUUAUGAAGAAUUCAUUUUACAAGGGAUUAGUAGAAAUCAGCUAUUUUUGCUUGGCAAAACAAGGGCUGACAGCGGAUGUGAUUGCUGACUGCAAAUAUACCAAGAAGAGGUAAACCUCAGAGAGCUGAGAAGAGCUAUUUAAGCUAAAAAUAACCUUGACACAUGAACAAACAUACACUAACCAGCCCUGAAUAAAAUYAGGAAAAGAAGUAGGUUACCAAUAAUCCAAACAAUGAAGGUGCUGGAAGAACUUUCUGAUAGAAGAAAUGCAAGCAGAAUGCCAAAGUGCUUUUUGGAUGGAGUUUAACCAGCACCUGAAAGGGAAUAGGUAAGAGGAUUGCAUGUUGCUGUGUCUAGACUGUGGGGCCUGGGCUUACUCCCAUGUCAGGAYGAAACUCAGUUGGUUUUGUACCGAACAACGUCCUUAUUCCUUUGAGGAGCAACUCCCCAUCAGACAAAGACAAAGUCCUGUGGAGACAGUCACCACAUUGCUUGGGUAUCGUGCUCAGCAACUUGCCUCAGGAAGCAAGAAGCAAAGACCCUGGUAUCACCAUCACCAAGAGGAGACUCUUUUCACUGUCCUUGCCCAAGAGCGACUGAUGAAGAGACACCUCAGACAGCUUUAAAAUAGCCAUCUUGCGGCUGCAUCCAUUUGAGGCUCAUUGACUCUGCUUUUGGAAUAACUUCGGAAGGCAAGACUCACAGCUCUGGUUAAGGAGAGAAACUGGACAGUGCUUGUACCUGUACUGCACACCUUCAUGACCACUUCACUUUACUGCAGGACUCUCCAGACUCUCUAGCCAGCCUAACCAACAAUGUGAAGUUUCAUUAAUUUGUGAAAAUAGGCUGGUUUGGCUAAUAUCUCUGGGAACAGUUUUCAAGUCAGAUUAUUAAAUAUAUUUUUGGAAGGGAGCGGGAAUGGAAGUAGGGGAAGGGCAUUUUUCCUAUUAGUUCUUCACCUGAGGCU
Molecule: long non-coding RNA, 1419 nt
Organism: Dromaius novaehollandiae (emu)
Lineage: Eukaryota; Metazoa; Chordata; Aves; Casuariiformes; Dromaiidae
Source: Ensembl